Molecule: small nuclear RNA, 109 nt
Organism: Scleropages formosus (Asian bonytongue)
Lineage: Eukaryota; Metazoa; Chordata; Actinopteri; Osteoglossiformes; Osteoglossidae
Source: Ensembl
GUGCUAGCUGUGUGGCAGCACAUAUACUACAGGUGGAACAAUACAGAGAAGAUUAGCAUGGGCCCUGCGCAAGGAUGACACGCAAAGAUGUGAAGCGUUCCAUAGUUUU